Molecule: long non-coding RNA, 1035 nt
Filed under: Piliocolobus tephrosceles (Ugandan red Colobus)
Lineage: Eukaryota; Metazoa; Chordata; Mammalia; Primates; Cercopithecidae
Description: lncRNA (ENSPTEG00000022080.1)
Source: RNAcentral
UAAAAAAAAAAUAUUACCUUAUUUUUAGUAUAGCCUUUUAAAUAAUAAGUAUAUAUAUAUAACUUUUUAUUUUUUGCACACCUAUAAAAUCUUUUAUUUUUCUAUAUUUUUAGUACUUUAUUUGGUGCAUCCCAUUUUUACCCAUUGUCCUUGUGACUAUAACCUUGAACAAGGUAUGAAUAGUAAACAUGAGCAAAUACAUAAAGUCUUUUUUUUUCUUGUUAUAAGAAAAGGAUAGUUAAAUAAUUACACUAUAAACACUAUUUUUCAAUCUAUAUAUAUAUAUAUAUAUAUAUAUAUACACGUGCGUGUGUUUUGUGUGUGUGAAUAUGCAUAUGUAAUGUUUUAUUUUAUGUAUUUUUUUUACAGGAAAACUUAAUUCUUAUUUCCUGCGCAAUUCUCUUUUUUACUUUGUCAAAGGUUUGGAUCAAAAUUAGUGUUAAUUAAAUAUUUGUUAUUUUAUGUUCAUAUAAAAAAAAUCAAAUAAAAUAACGGUCAGAAUAUACAUGCUCACGUUACAUGCAUUAGUAUGUACAUAUAUAGUUAAAUAAUUGUUCAAAUAUUUUAAUUUAUGCAGUCUCAUUGGCUUUUUUGGGCAUAUUAUCUUGAAUUUAAAGGAUAUAACACCUUUUUACAAAUUUUUAUUGCUUCAAUUUUGUUCUUUAUAUCGGAGAUGACAAUAUGUUGGGUUUUUAUGUAUAUGCAAUUUAAAGAAGAGAAGAAAAAAAAAGUGUGUUAAGAGGGCUAAUAAUAUUUUGUUUUGCAUUUCAUUUGUUCUUUUUUUUUUUGAUUUAUUUUUUUUUGUUUAUAUUUUUGAUUAUUCUUAUCAUAUAUAAAAAAAUUAAUUAUUUGCUAAACCCACUAAAUAGAAAUGUCUUUUUUUUUUUUUUUUCCUUUUUUUUUUUUUAAACAUUAUAUCCUAUUUAUUUUUUAUUAAUUUUUUUAUAACAUAGUAAAAGCAAUAAUUAAAUACAUAUAAUAUAAGAAUCAUGUUGUAUAUUUUUUUGAAUAAAAAAAAAUAUAUUUAUUUAUACA